UACGGAGGAUCCAAGCGUUAUCCGGAAUCAUUGGGUUUAAAGGGUCCGUAGGCGGUCUUGUAAGUCAGUGGUGAAAGCCCAUCGCUCAACGGUGGAACGGCCAUUGAUACUGCAGGACUUGAAUUAUUGGGAAGUAACUAGAAUAUGUAGUGUAGCGGUGAAAUGCUUAGAGAUUACAUGGAAUACCAAUUGCGAAGGCAGGUUACUACCAAUUUAUUGACGCUGAUGGACGAAAGCGUGGGUAGCGAACAGGAUUAGAUACCCUGGUAGUCCACGCCGUAAACGAUGGAUACUAGCUGUUGGGCGCAAGUUCAGUGGCUAAGCGAAAGUGAUAAGUAUCCCACCUGGGGAGUACGAACGCAAGUUUG
RNAcentral lists this ribosomal RNA (368 nucleotides) under uncultured bacterium. RNAcentral's name for it is "bacterial SSU rRNA". It matches the Rfam family "Bacterial small subunit ribosomal RNA", at positions 524 to 896 of the family's 1533-position model. The record is from RNAcentral.